GGGCAAUAUAUCUACCAGGACUCUUAGCUGUUUUUGCUCUAAUAGCAUAUCGUCUAUUCUGGAACCAGUUCCAAACUUGUUUCAUUUGAACCACAAAUUUUCCAGAUCUCUCCGAUGAAGAACUAAACUUCUCAGCAAGAUCUACAAGAACUUCACGGGCUGGCAUUGUGAUAUUAUGAGCUUGCAAUAUAGCUUCCAUCUCAGCUACCUGCAACAUUUGACAAAUUUACCAAGGUUUUCAACCAGAUCUGAUAUCUUGCUGCGGAAGUU
This 270-nucleotide unclassified non-coding RNA is filed under the name Hevea brasiliensis (rubber tree). The record is from RNAcentral. Lineage: Eukaryota; Viridiplantae; Streptophyta; Magnoliopsida; Malpighiales; Euphorbiaceae.